RNAcentral lists this ribosomal RNA (1101 nucleotides) under Pseudomonas sp. RNAcentral's name for it is "bacterial SSU rRNA". It matches the Rfam family "Bacterial small subunit ribosomal RNA", at positions 57 to 1147 of the family's 1533-position model. The record is from RNAcentral. Lineage: Bacteria; Pseudomonadati; Pseudomonadota; Gammaproteobacteria; Pseudomonadales; Pseudomonadaceae.
GCAAGUCGAGCGGUAGAGAGGUGCUUGCACCUCUUGAGAGCGGCGGACGGGUGAGUAAAGCCUAGGAAUCUGCCUGGUAGUGGGGGAUAACGCUCGGAAACGGACGCUAAUACCGCAUACGUCCUACGGGAGAAAGCAGGGGACCUUCGGGCCUUGCGCUAUCAGAUGAGCCUAGGUCGGAUUAGCUAGUUGGUGAGGUAAUGGCUCACCAAGGCGACGAUCCGUAACUGGUCUGAGAGGAUGAUCAGUCACACUGGAACUGAGACACGGUCCAGACUCCUACGGGAGGCAGCAGUGGGGAAUAUUGGACAAUGGGCGAAAGCCUGAUCCAGCCAUGCCGCGUGUGUGAAGAAGGUCUUCGGAUUGUAAAGCACUUUAAGUUGGGAGGAAGGGCAUUAACCUAAUACGUUAGUGUUUUGACGUUACCGACAGAAUAAGCACCGGCUAACUCUGUGCCAGCAGCCGCGGUAAUACAGAGGGUGCAAGCGUUAAUCGGAAUUACUGGGCGUAAAGCGCGCGUAGGUGGUUCGUUAAGUUGGAUGUGAAAUCCCCGGGCUCAACCUGGGAACUGCAUUCAAAACUGUCGAGCUAGAGUAUGGUAGAGGGUGGUGGAAUUUCCUGUGUAGCGGUGAAAUGCGUAGAUAUAGGAAGGAACACCAGUGGCGAAGGCGACCACCUGGACUGAUACUGACACUGAGGUGCGAAAGCGUGGGGAGCAAACAGGAUUAGAUACCCUGGUAGUCCACGCCGUAAACGAUGUCAACUAGCCGUUGGGAGCCUUGAGCUCUUAGUGGCGCAGCUAACGCAUUAAGUUGACCGCCUGGGGGAGUACGGCCGCAAGGUUAAAACUCAAAUGAAUUGACGGGGGCCCGCACAAGCGGUGGAGCAUGUGGGUUUAAUUCGAAGCAACGCGAAGAACCUUACCAGGCCUUGACAUCCAAUGAACUUUCCAGAGAAUGGAUUGGUGCCUUCGGGAACAUUGAGACAGGUGCUGCAUGGCUGUCGUCAGCUCGUGUCGUGAGAAGGUUGGGGUUAAGUCCCGUAACGAGCGCAACCCUUGUCCUUAGUUACCAGCACGUAAUGGUGGGCACUCUUAAGGAG